This 213-nucleotide ribosomal RNA is filed under the name Triticum aestivum (bread wheat). Its description in RNAcentral is "partial small subunit ribosomal RNA". The record is from RNAcentral. Lineage: Eukaryota; Viridiplantae; Streptophyta; Magnoliopsida; Poales; Poaceae.
AUAUCAUGGCGAAUUUCAGUAAUUAACAGCCCCGCUAAACGAAAAGCACUUAGAGAGUUUGUAGACUCGAUUCGUACUGCCAUCAUAUGUAUUUUAGAGACCAAUCUUGAGCUGGUGGAUCAAUUUUUGAUAAUGCAAUGUCUUGGGCCGGCUUACGAAGGCUUUUUUUACCUUCCUGCCUUGAACACUCGUGGAGGAAUUUAUGUCGCUUGG